GUUUGUGCUUCUUCAGUCUGUGCUGGUAAUGGAUUGCUUCUCCAUUCAAAUUGAUGAAAAGCCUUGGCUCUAGCAAAGCUUUAAUUAUCAUCACACUUUCCCUGAGGAAGAGAGAAAGAGAGAGAGAGAAUCUGAAGCAGACUCUUCACUGAGCAUGGAGCCCAACGCAGCGCUCGAUCUCAUGACCUGAGCCAAAAUCAAGAGUCAGAUGCUUAACCACCUG
This 223-nucleotide long non-coding RNA is filed under the name Mustela putorius furo (domestic ferret). RNAcentral describes it as "lncRNA (ENSMPUG00000028034.1)". Lineage: Eukaryota; Metazoa; Chordata; Mammalia; Carnivora; Mustelidae. The record is from RNAcentral.